Neogale vison (American mink) is the source of this 926-nucleotide long non-coding RNA. RefSeq lists it as uncharacterized. The transcript has 2 exons. NCBI's taxonomy places the organism in Eukaryota, Metazoa, Chordata, Mammalia, Carnivora, Mustelidae. The record is from RefSeq and is a predicted model, not a curated record.
CCGGCGCCGGCAAGCUCGGAAGAGCUAGCAGGCGCUAGGAAACCAGAAUGUAUCCAUUUGAAGCUGUCCUUUCCAUGGUUGUCUUCUUGUAUUAUCUACUUAAUUUAUUGUUGUUGCUGAUCAUGUUUUUGGAAGUAAUUUGAAGCUGCCAGUUUGCAAGUCAGGUAAUAGAAUCUUACACUUAAUACUUGAGUCACACUUCAUUUAAACAAAACUGUAACAUUUAGCUUGUUCUACUGAACCAAACUGGAGGACUUUGGGCUGUUGCUAGAAGUCAUUUCCAGCCUGAAGAGAAUAUGCAAACUGUAGAGGCAGUUCCAAAAGCUGUUUCCAACGUCCCAUUCUUCUUGUCUUCCAUAGUGCAGACCCUAACUCCUUACAGCUUAAACUCAGAAAAUGUUUAUCCGGUUGAAUCAGUUUCAUAAAAAGUUUUGCUUUUUAAUGGUUCUCAUAAUAAGCGCCUUUUCUCUUGUUAUUACUGUGUUUGCAAUACUGAAAACCAGAAGAGAUUAAUAAAAAUAUUAAGGAAUGAGACAUGAAGUACAUACUAUAAUUCUGAUUGGUUUUAAAUAUGCAUUAUUCAUUUUAAAUAAAAUAAUACAUGAAACCAUUUUAACUGAACAAUGAAAAAGAAUCUAGAGAAAAAAAUAAAGUACCCUCUUAUCUCUUCCCCUCCCUCACCAGAGUAACCACUGUUAUCUCUUCUAUGUGUUUUAGACCUGUGCUUUCUGAUAGGACCACACAUGGCUAUUGAGUACUUGAAAUGUAGAUGACCCAAAUUGAGAUGUGCUGUAAGUGUAAAAAACACAUUACAGUUCAAAGAUUUGGUAGAAAAAAAACACGUAAAAUAUCUUAUUUUUUGUAUUGAUUAUAUGUUGGAAUAAUGUUUUGUAUAUUGGAUUAAAUAAAAUAGUUAUUAAAUUUAA